GACGAACGCUGGCGGCGUGCCUAAUACAUGCAAGUAGAACGCUGAAGGAGGAGCUUGCUUCUCUGGAUGAGUUGCGAACGGGUGAGUAACGCGUAGGUAACCUGCCUGGUAGCGGGGGAUAACUAUUGGAAACGAUAGCUAAUACCGCAUAAUAGUAGAUGUUGCAUGACAUUUGCUUAAAAGGUGCAAUUGCAUCACUACCAGAUGGACCUGCGUUGUAUUAGCUAGUUGGUGGGGUAACGGCUCACCAAGGCGACGAUACAUAGCCGACCUGAGAGGGGGAUCGGCCACACUGGGACUGAGACAAGGCCCAGAAUCCUACGGGAGGCAGCAGUAGGGAAUCUUCGGCAAUGGACGGAAGUCUGACCGAGCAACGCCGCGUGAGUGAAGAAGGUUUUCGGAUCGUAAAGCUCUGUUGUAAGAGAAGAACGAGUGUGAGAGUGGAAAGUUCACACUGUGACGGUAUCUUACCAGAAAGGGACGGCUAACUACGUG
This 495-nucleotide ribosomal RNA is filed under the name uncultured bacterium. RNAcentral describes it as "partial 16S ribosomal RNA". It matches the Rfam family "Bacterial small subunit ribosomal RNA", at positions 28 to 507 of the family's 1533-position model. The record is from RNAcentral.